RNAcentral lists this ribosomal RNA (253 nucleotides) under uncultured bacterium. Its description in RNAcentral is "partial 16S ribosomal RNA". It matches the Rfam family "Bacterial small subunit ribosomal RNA", at positions 524 to 776 of the family's 1533-position model. RNAcentral also lists the same sequence under 1 other name. The record is from RNAcentral.
UACGGAGGAUGCAAGCGUUAUCCGGAAUAAUUGGGCGUAAAGCGUCCGUAGGUGGCUGUUCAAGUCUGCCGUUAAAGACCGGGGCUUAACCCUGGAAAGGCGGUGGAAACUGAACGGCUAGAGUGCAGUAGGGGUAGAGGGAAUUCCCAGUGUAGCGGUGAAAUGCGUAGAGAUUGGGAAGAACACCGGUGGCGAAAGCGCUCUGCUGGACUGCAACUGACACUGAGGGACGAAAGCUAGGGGAGCGAAUGGG